This 1827-nucleotide long non-coding RNA is filed under the name Equus caballus (horse). RNAcentral's name for it is "lncRNA (ENSECAG00000055068.1)". The record is from RNAcentral. Lineage: Eukaryota; Metazoa; Chordata; Mammalia; Perissodactyla; Equidae.
GUACUAUGGACGUAGGUCUAUAAUUAAUUAUGAAUUCAACAAAUUCAAUGUGUAUUUAAUGAAUGCCUACUGUGUGUCCAGAACUAUGUUUAUCCAUUGGAAUAUAAUAGUUAAUACACAAUUAACCCUGCCCUCAAAGAACUGACAAUCUAGUAAGCCGUAAUUAAGCAGGUAACAACCCCGUGUGCCAAAUGCUGGCGAGCUCCCAGCGGUGGAGUGUGCAUCUGCUCUGAGCAGAGUGUGUUGCAUGCAUUAUCUCAUUCAGUCUCCACACAAACCUUUAGGCAGGCACUGUUGUCCCUGUUGCUUGGAUGAGGAAGAUGAGGUUUGGAGAGAUAGAGGAGCUGUAUGGAGGUCACAUAGCUACAAGUGCAGAGCGCAGAUUGAACUCAUCUCUGCCUGAUGCCCAAGUCCAGGCUGCCGGUGGCUUCCCUGUCUCACUUAUGCCCUCCUGCCAGGCUUCUCACAGACGGGCGCGCGGAGGAGGAGCAGGACCGUGCAAACCAAGGUCAGCCUGGGAGGCAGACAUCCGGAGAAACCCGGGGAGCUCGGCUGUUCUCGGAGACACACGUGCUCUCUCGCCCCUGCUGGCUGGCUUGCGUUGCCACUUCCUGAGCCUCUGGGAUGUGGGCGGCAAACAGGCCACCAGCGCUACCCUGGAGUCUGCAAGUCCAUCCUGGGUAACAACUCUCUCAGUAUCCUCAUCUUUUAAAGGGACACAUGAGCAUGUGUCUGUGUGUAGGUAGAGAGAGGGAAGAUUUGAACCCUUUCCAGGAAAGCCCCCUCUCAUCUAUUCUGCUCAGGGACGUGCUCUGGAAACAGAAUUAUAGUCAGGCCUUGGCUGCUCACCUAGACGGCCUUUCCUGGACUCCCUGGGAGUUCGAUGUGAACAGGUGAUGCCAUUGUCACCCGUGGAAGAUUAAGACACUGAAGCUCAGAGAGAAUCUGGUUUUCUGGAUCCUACACCUGGUCAAGAAUCCACACCUGGUCAAGGAUGGACUGCGAGUGCUAGAACUUGAACUCAGCUCCUUCAAUUCCAAAACUAUAGGACCCUUAAAAAAUAUUUUUAAUUUUUUUCUUGCAUUUUCAAAAGUAAUUUGUUUCUUUGUACAUGCUAUCUCAACACAGCCGUCAGAAUAAGCCUUUUAAAAUAUGUCAUAAAAAGACAAUCCAAUUUUAAAAACGAGCAAGGAUUUGAAGAAACAUUUCUUCAGAGAAGAUAUACGAAUGGCUAGUAAGCACCUGAAAAUAUUCUUUGCAUCAUUAGUAAUUAGAGACACGCAAAUCAAAGCCACAAUGAGGUACCACUGUACACCCACCAGGACGGCUGCAAUCAAACCAACAGGCAAUACAAGCAUGGGUGAGGAUGUGGAGAAAUUAGAACCCUCGGACACUGCUGGUGGGAAUGGAAAAUGGCCCAGCCGCCUUGGAAAACAGUUUGGCAGUUCCUCAGAAUGAAAAUAUAUUGAAAGUUGAAAUAUAUUGAAAAUUGAAAACAUACGUCAAUGUGAAAUCUUGUACACAAAUGUUCAUAAUGUUAUUAUUAAUAAUAGCCAAAAAGUGGAAACAACCCAAAUUUCCAUCAACUGGUCAACAGAUAAACUAGGUGUGGUUUAUCUAUACAAUGGAAUAUUAUUUGACAGUAAAAAGAAAUGAAGUACUCAUACGUGCUAUGACACGGAUGAACCUUGAAAACAGCAUGCUAAGUGAAAGAAGCCAGUCACAAAAGGCCACAUAUUAUAUGAUUCCAUUUGUGUGAAAUGUCCGGAACAGGCAAAUCCAUAGAGACAGCAAGGAGAUUAGUGGUUGCCUGGGGCUGGAGGAGGG